Molecule: long non-coding RNA, 170 nt
Organism: Sinocyclocheilus grahami
Lineage: Eukaryota; Metazoa; Chordata; Actinopteri; Cypriniformes; Cyprinidae
Exons: 3
Source: RefSeq, a predicted model, not a curated record
UCCACGGACGCGGCCCGGAUCCGCUCUGCGACUGUAGUUCCCGCUCACUGAAACCGCGCCCGGGCUGGAUCCGUGUUACAGCACUGUAACAGAUGUAACUGUAACGCGGAUUUGCCGGUUUUAAAACGGAUCUGGCGCAGAGUCAGCUGCUGUCUGGGUGCAAUGACAAA